Molecule: ribosomal RNA, 1417 nt
Filed under: Curtobacterium fangii
Lineage: Bacteria; Bacillati; Actinomycetota; Actinomycetes; Micrococcales; Microbacteriaceae
Description: bacterial SSU rRNA
Rfam family: Bacterial small subunit ribosomal RNA
Source: RNAcentral
GCUUAACACAUGCAAGUCGAACGAUGAAGCCCAGCUUGCUGGGUGGAUUAGUGGCGAACGGGUGAGUAACACGUGAGUAACCUGCCCUUGACUCUGGGAUAAGCGUUGGAAACGACGUCUAAUACCGGAUACGAGCUUCCACCGCAUGGUGAGUUGCUGGAAAGAAUUUUGGUCAAGGAUGGACUCGCGGCCUAUCAGCUUGUUGGUGAGGUAACGGCUCACCAAGGCGACGACGGGUAGCCGGCCUGAGAGGGUGACCGGCCACACUGGGACUGAGACACGGCCCAGACUCCUACGGGAGGCAGCAGUGGGGAAUAUUGCACAAUGGGCGAAAGCCUGAUGCAGCAACGCCGCGUGAGGGACGACGGCCUUCGGGUUGUAAACCUCUUUUAGCAGGGAAGAAGCGAAAGUGACGGUACCUGCAGAAAAAGCACCGGCUAACUACGUGCCAGCAGCCGCGGUAAUACGUAGGGUGCAAGCGUUGUCCGGAAUUAUUGGGCGUAAAGAGCUCGUAGGCGGUUUGUCGCGUCUGCUGUGAAAUCCCGAGGCUCAACCUCGGGUCUGCAGUGGGUACGGGCAGACUAGAGUGCGGUAGGGGAGAUUGGAAUUCCUGGUGUAGCGGUGGAAUGCGCAGAUAUCAGGAGGAACACCGAUGGCGAAGGCAGAUCUCUGGGCCGCUACUGACGCUGAGGAGCGAAAGGGUGGGGAGCAAACAGGCUUAGAUACCCUGGUAGUCCACCCCGUAAACGUUGGGCGCUAGAUGUGGGGACCAUUCCACGGUUUCCGUGUCGUAGCUAACGCAUUAAGCGCCCCGCCUGGGGAGUACGGCCGCAAGGCUAAAACUCAAAGGAAUUGACGGGGGCCCGCACAAGCGGCGGAGCAUGCGGAUUAAUUCGAUGCAACGCGAAGAACCUUACCAAGGCUUGACAUAUACGAGAACGGGCCAGAAAUGGUCAACUCUUUGGACACUCGUAAACAGGUGGUGCAUGGUUGUCGUCAGCUCGUGUCGUGAGAUGUUGGGUUAAGUCCCGCAACGAGCGCAACCCUCGUUCUAUGUUGCCAGCACGUAAUGGUGGGAACUCAUGGGAUACUGCCGGGGUCAACUCGGAGGAAGGUGGGGACGACGUCAAAUCAUCAUGCCCCUUAUGUCUUGGGCUUCACGCAUGCUACAAUGGCCAGUACAAAGGGCUGCAAUACCGUAAGGUGGAGCGAAUCCCAAAAAGCUGGUCCCAGUUCGGAUUGAGGUCUGCAACUCGACCUCAUGAAGUCGGAGUCGCUAGUAAUCGCAGAUCAGCAACGCUGCGGUGAAUACGUUCCCGGGCCUUGUACACACCGCCCGUCAAGUCAUGAAAGUCGGUAACACCCGAAGCCAGUGGCCUAACCGCAAGGAUGGAGCUGUCUAAGGUGGGAUCGGUAA